This 491-nucleotide ribosomal RNA is filed under the name uncultured Meliniomyces. RNAcentral describes it as "eukaryotic LSU rRNA". The stretch from base 142 to 295 matches the Rfam family "5.8S ribosomal RNA". The record is from RNAcentral. Lineage: Eukaryota; Fungi; Ascomycota; Leotiomycetes; Helotiales; Helotiaceae.
UGGGUUCUAUUCCCUUAAACCGUGUCUACAUACCUUUGUUGCUUUGGCAGGCCGCCUUCGGGCGUCGGCUCCGGCUGAUAGUGCCUGCCAGAGGACCCAAACUCUAUGUUUAGUGAUGUCUGAGUACUAUAUAAUAUUUAAAACUUUCAACAACGGAUCUCUUGGUUCUGGCAUCGAUGAAGAACGCAGCGAAAUGCGAUAAGUAAUGUGAAUUGCAGAAUUCAGUGAGUCAUCGAAUCUUUGAACGCACAUUGCGCCCCUUGGUAUUCCGAGGGGCAUGCCUGUUCGAGUGUCAUUAUAACCACUCAAGCCUGGCUUGGUAUUGGGGCUUUCGCGUGUUCGCGGCCCUUAAAAUCAGUGGCGGUGCCGUCUGGCUCUAAGCGUAGUAAUUUCUCUCGCUAUAGGGUUCCGGUGGUUACUUGCCAAAACCCCCCAUUUUUUCUAGGUUGACCUCGGAUCAGGUAGGGAUACCUGCUGAACUUAAGCAUAUC